Molecule: long non-coding RNA, 263 nt
Filed under: Elaeis guineensis (African oil palm)
Lineage: Eukaryota; Viridiplantae; Streptophyta; Magnoliopsida; Arecales; Arecaceae
Description: long non-coding RNA (EGUI_LNC061412)
Source: RNAcentral
GGCGAGGGCCAUUUGCUGUAGGAGCUUGGUCAAAGGCUUUCCGUAGAUGAAGUUCGAUUUCAUGCAAAAUUUGACAGAGGGUCGACCAGCAGUGGAUGUUGGAUGGCGCUGGAGAGGUUCAUCCGCUGGAGGGGUCCGACUGCUGGAGUCCAUGUAUCGUAGGAGUUCGUCCAGAAUCUGUCCGCUACAGAAGUUCGGUCGGAGUCUGAUCUUCGUAGAAGUUCGGAUGGGGAUCAUUUGUCGAGGAAGCUCGGUCGAAGCCU